Molecule: small RNA, 79 nt
Filed under: Flavobacterium cutihirudinis
Lineage: Bacteria; Pseudomonadati; Bacteroidota; Flavobacteriia; Flavobacteriales; Flavobacteriaceae
Description: Flavo-1 RNA
Rfam family: Flavo-1 RNA
Source: RNAcentral
AUCUAGCCCCGAUAGAAGUGGUAUCCUUUUUCUCCCUUCUUUAGGGAGGAAAAGAUACAAGCGGAUAGCGGGACAAAAC